UAAGCCUCGCGAUGUGACCAGCCCAUU
RNAcentral lists this small RNA (27 nucleotides) under Bombyx mori (domestic silkworm). Its description in RNAcentral is "ovarian small RNA-19259". The record is from RNAcentral. Lineage: Eukaryota; Metazoa; Arthropoda; Insecta; Lepidoptera; Bombycidae.